CACCUGGUAGCGCAUGGUGUGCGUCUGCAUGGUUUUGGUGAAUAAGGUUGAAGGUAUUUCUGCAGAAGACCCCCGUUCGAUUCGGGGCCGGGUGA
Mycena galericulata is the source of this 95-nucleotide non-coding RNA. Lineage: Eukaryota; Fungi; Basidiomycota; Agaricomycetes; Agaricales; Mycenaceae. The record is from the annotation of a GenBank genome assembly.